GUUGGGGAGGCCGAGUGGUUAAGUCGUUGGAAUAGAAAUCCAAUGGGAUCUUCCCGCGCAGGCCCGAAUCCUGCUCGCAACG
Molecule: non-coding RNA, 82 nt
Organism: Nematostella vectensis (starlet sea anemone)
Lineage: Eukaryota; Metazoa; Cnidaria; Anthozoa; Actiniaria; Edwardsiidae
Source: Rfam